ACAUGCUUUUUCCCAUCAGAGCCUGCCUGUUCUGUAAGGAAAAACAACACAAAACAAAAACAUGUUUGCUGCACCACCAUCAGCCCUCUCCCAACACAGUGCCAGCAGGAACCAGGACAUCUUGCAAUUCAGCAAACAUCUGCUGGGAACCUGACGUGUGUCUGAGCUGGGAUCUGGGGACGCCAGAUGAAUUAAGCACACCUUGGGGAUACUGCGGGUUUGGUUCCAGACCACUGCAAUAAAGCGAGUCACAUGAACUUUUUGCUUUCCCAGUGCACAUAAAAUUUAUGUUUACACUACACUGUGGUGUAUUAAGUGUGCAAUAGCAUUACGUCUAAAAAAUGUAUGUAUCUUAAUUAAAAAUACUUUAUUGCUAAAAAUUGCUAACCAUCAUCUGAGCCUUCAGCAAGUCGUAAUCUUUUUGCUGGUGGAGGGUCUUGCCUCCAUGUUGAUGGCUGCUGACUGAGCAGGGCGGUGGUUGCUGAAGGCUGGGCUGGCCAUGGCAAUUUCUUAAAAUAAAACAACAAUGAAGCUUGCUGCAUCGAUUGACUCUUCCUUUCAUGAACAAUUUCUCUAUAGCAUGCAAUCCUAUUUUACAGCAUUUUACCCACAGUGGAACUUCUUUCAAAAUUGGACUCAAUCCCCUUAAACCCUGCUGCUGCUCUAUCAACUAAGUUUAUGUAAUAUUCUCAAUACUUUGUUGUCA
Molecule: long non-coding RNA, 706 nt
Organism: Diceros bicornis minor
Lineage: Eukaryota; Metazoa; Chordata; Mammalia; Perissodactyla; Rhinocerotidae
Exons: 3
Source: RefSeq, a predicted model, not a curated record